CGCGUAGGCGGCUCUGCAAGUCGAAGGUGAAAUCCCUCAGCUCAACUGAGGAACUGCCUCCGAUACUGCAGGGCUUGAGUUCCGGAGAGGGUAGCGGAAUUCCCAGUGUAGCGGUGAAGUGCGUAGAUACUGGGAGGAACACCGGUGGCGAAGGCGGCUACCUGGACGGAUACUGACGCUGGGGCGCGAAAGCGUGGGGAGCAAACAGGAUUAGAUACCCUGGUAGUCC
RNAcentral lists this ribosomal RNA (229 nucleotides) under uncultured bacterium. RNAcentral's name for it is "partial 16S ribosomal RNA". It matches the Rfam family "Bacterial small subunit ribosomal RNA", at positions 568 to 796 of the family's 1533-position model. The record is from RNAcentral.